RNAcentral lists this ribosomal RNA (276 nucleotides) under Triticum aestivum (bread wheat). RNAcentral's name for it is "partial small subunit ribosomal RNA". The record is from RNAcentral. Lineage: Eukaryota; Viridiplantae; Streptophyta; Magnoliopsida; Poales; Poaceae.
AUGUGGCACAAGACCGGCAAUACCUUGCUGGUGAUGGUCAACGGCCGGCAGACGGGCAGCAAAAAGGUUCUGGUGCUGCACACCAACAAGAACUUCGACCAGCAGAGGACCAACUGGGUGAUGCACCAGUACCACCUCGGGGACCUGGAGCAAGAGAAGGAGCGGGAGCUGGUCCUCUGCAAGAUUUUCUACCAGACGAACACUAGGUCGAGCAAGUUUCAACUGGGCUGUAGACUGUCCAGGGUUGGUUUUGUUUUUAACAGACCCAGCCCAUGA